This 1798-nucleotide unclassified non-coding RNA is filed under the name Hevea brasiliensis (rubber tree). Lineage: Eukaryota; Viridiplantae; Streptophyta; Magnoliopsida; Malpighiales; Euphorbiaceae. The record is from RNAcentral.
CAAUGGCCUGUGCCUUCUGCUUGUGGCUGGUACCCCACUCUACAGCAAACUUAAUGGACCUGCACUUGUCAUUAUCCUUUAUCGGCCAGUAGUGGUCAAUUGGCCUCAGACUUCUCGUGAAGAAGUCAUAGUAAUGGGGUUUUACAAGUAAGGUAACAGAAUCACAGGCAAGAAUGUAUUUUUCGCUGACUGACCAUGCAGAACCUUCAAUAUAGAUCUUAUACCUGUGAAUGCAUUGGCUUUCCAAGUUUGAUUGUUUGUACCCUUGCUGUGAUUCUCGAAGCCAGUCCUGACCAUAGACACGAGCAUUCCAGUCUUGUUGUUNNNNNNNNNNNCCUGUCUGGUUUCAGCAACAGCUGGAUUUCCUUUCCAGUAAGCAUAAGGUUCCCUGUCCAUCCAUCUGGUCUUCUUGUUGCCUUCUUUUAAAUCAUUCAGCAAAUUCUCCCAUGGCUUUAUGUUGAUCUCAGGCCAUCCCCAAAAGGACCAAUCCGGGAACACGAUAUCAAGUGAGUCAUCAUCCCCACAGUACCGAAACAAAGGCGGUGGGCCCGUUGCACUGGGCCCACUAUACUCGCUUGAUUUCACAACCGGCCAGUCAACACAAUCAAACAUCGGCUCCAAGUCCGGCACUUUUCCUGGGUAUCUCCGUAACAACUGUAGGAUUCCCCACAGCGUAAAAACAUCUCGGGUCUGAAAUGACUUCCGAUACGUUUCCAAAUAGGCUUUGCCAUGCACAAUCAGCAACCUAAAAUUCGCCGUCCUUUUAGCUCUCUCGACCAUUUCUCUCGUGAUCCCCGUGCGAGCCCACGGACGUAAGUCUUCGUAUAUCCAACGGAAGUACUCUGGACAAGUUGAAACAGAUGGACGGUAUGGAUUUUCUGAAAUAUUCGUGGGGUAAUUUGCCGGACAGGUUCCUGUGAGGUUGAAAAAAUCGCAGUCGAGUGGGAUCUCGAUUUUGUUUAUUGGCUUUUCGGGAAUUUGGGUAGUUGUUGUUUCACUAGUUAACAACGGCUCUUGAGCCGAGCCGCUAGAAACAGCAGUGGUGUUAAGGAGGCGCGUGGAGAAAAACGCGCAGACGACGAGGAAGAAGAUGAAGAUGACGACUGAGAAUCUUGCAGGUAACUUGAUGGAAGGCCAGAUCGUCUCUUUCAAAUGACAAUAAAUCCCCGAUCCAUAUUGCAAGUAUCUCUGCACCCUCUGUUGCGCCCUGCUAUUUUCUCUCAUUUCUCUCUCUAAAUCCUGUUAACAACUCUCUGACAAUUGCAUACUCGGAUGAUUUCCGGUAUUUGAGUUGUGGCUGGUACGUACGGAGAUCUUUAAUGCAUAACUAAACCACGAUCAUUUCUAAAAGCCCUUAUAAAGAGUUUCUGAAUUGGGAAGUACGUACUUUCUCCUUACUGACCACCAACUUUAAUAAGCAGAUGGAUCGAGAUCCAAAAGACACUAUAAGAUACAAACACAGUGGUAUUUUGCUUUGCUAAUUGCUAUUGAGGUUGGGUCAGGCAUAGCUUAAAGACAGACAAACGAUGAUUAAAAGGAAAAGAAAGAAAGAGAUGGACCUUAUUAUUCCCAGCUAGCAAGCAAAAUUGACUAAGAUAGAAAGUAUGGAAGAAAAGAAGAAAUUGAAGAUGGUACUCGGAAAGAUAGAGAGAAGCAAAUAAAGAAAGAGAGAGAGAGAGAUCCAAGAAAAUGUUACAGUGCGGUGGGUCUCGUGAUACUGCGGCUGCUUCUUCACUUGCCACCGUUCUCAACGGGGAAGGAAAAAAAAAUAUAUGUAAUUGCCAAAGGUGGAGAUGGA